GACGAGGUAGAUAGGGCAGAGGUGGAAGCAUGGCAACAUGUGCAGCUGACUGUCACUAAUAGGUCGAGGGCUUAACCAAG
Molecule: ribosomal RNA, 80 nt
Filed under: Hungatella hathewayi
Lineage: Bacteria; Bacillati; Bacillota; Clostridia; Lachnospirales; Lachnospiraceae
Description: partial 23S ribosomal RNA
Source: RNAcentral